AGACCCGAAACCCGGUGAUCUAGCCAUGGGCAGGUUGAAGGUUGGGUAACACUAACUGGAGGACCGAACCGACUAAUGUUGAAAAAUUAGCGGAUGACCUGUGGCUGGGGGUGAAAGGCCAAUCAAACCGGGAGAUAGCUGGUUCUCCCCGAAAGCUAUUUAGGUAGCGCCUCGUGAAUUCAUCUCCGGGGGUAGAGCACUGUUUCGGCUAGGGGGCCAUCCCGGCUUACCAACCCGAUGCAAACUGCGAAUACCGGAGAAUGUUAUCACGGGAGACACACGGCGGGUGCUAACGUCCGUCGUGAAGAGGGAAACAACCCAGACCGCCAGCUAAGGUCCCAAAGUCAUGGUUAAGUGGGAAACGAUGUGGGAAGGCCCAGACAGCCAGGAUGUUGGCUUAGAAGCAGCCAUCAUUUAAAGAAAGCGUAAUAGCUCACUGGUCGAGUCGGCCUGCGCGGAAGAUGUAACGGGGCUAAACCAUGCACCGAAGCUGCGGCAGCGACGUUUAUGCGUUGUUGGGUAGGGGAGCGUUCUGUAAGCCUGCGAAGGUGGCCUGUGAGGGUUGCUGGAGGUAUCAGAAG
Molecule: ribosomal RNA, 581 nt
Filed under: Salmonella enterica subsp. enterica serovar Bovismorbificans
Lineage: Bacteria; Pseudomonadati; Pseudomonadota; Gammaproteobacteria; Enterobacterales; Enterobacteriaceae
Also listed under: 1 other name
Description: partial 23S ribosomal RNA
Rfam family: Bacterial large subunit ribosomal RNA
Source: RNAcentral